This 291-nucleotide ribosomal RNA is filed under the name Triticum aestivum (bread wheat). RNAcentral describes it as "partial small subunit ribosomal RNA". Lineage: Eukaryota; Viridiplantae; Streptophyta; Magnoliopsida; Poales; Poaceae. The record is from RNAcentral.
AUGGGAUGCAAUAAAUUGAUGGUGAAUUCAGGUAAUCUCGAGGUCGUGGAAAUGAUGAAUAAUGGUGGUCACUCAAUGGGAGUAGCGGCAGCUAUUUUUGAUGAUUGCUACAAUCUGGUUUUCGAAUUUGCUCAAACUUACUUUGAUCAUUGUAAUAGGCGAGCCAAUUCAGUAGCUCAUGAGCUAGCUAGUAUGGCUAUGAGAGCACAUUCUUUCCUGUGGGUGGAUGAUGCCCGGCCAAAGAUUCCCCCUCUCUUGUUUAAUGAUGUAACAGUUAUCAAAAGAAAAUAA